AACGAACGCUGGCGGCGCGCUUAACACAUGCAAGUCGAACGAGAAGCCGUAGCAAUACGGUUGUAAAGUGGCAGACGGGUGAGUAAUGCAUGGGUAAUCUACCCUCAGGUGGGGAAUAACUCCUCGAAAGGGGAGCUAAUGCCGACGAUAUCCACCAGCCUCAUAAGAGGUUGUUGGAAAGCCGAACCGGGGGUUCGGCGCCUGAGGAUGGGCUCAUGUCCUAUCAGCUUGUUGGCGGGGUAAUGGCCCACCAAGGCUGCGACGGGUAGCUGGUCUGAGAGGACGACCAGCCACACUGGCACUGCGACACGGGCCAGACUCCUACGGGAGGCAGCAGUGAGGAAUCUUGCGCAAUGGGCGAAAGCCUGACGCAGCGACGCUGCGUGGGGGAUGAAGGCCUUCGGGUUGUAAACCCCUUUCGGGAGGGAAGAUGGGACGGGUAACCGUUCGGACGGUACCUUCAGAAGCAGCCACGGCUAACUCUGUGCCAGCAGCCGCGGUAA
Molecule: ribosomal RNA, 503 nt
Filed under: uncultured bacterium
Lineage: Bacteria
Description: partial 16S ribosomal RNA
Rfam family: Bacterial small subunit ribosomal RNA
Source: RNAcentral